AUUGAACGCUGGCGGCAGGCCUAACACAUGCAAGUCGAACGAGUUGCGAACGGGUGAGUAACGCGUGGUAACCUGCCUCAUAGCGGGGGAUAACUAUUGGAAACGAUAGCUAAUACCGCAUACUGUGAGAUGGACCUGCGUUGUAUUAGCUAGUUGGUGAGGUAAAGGCUCACCAAGGCGACGAUACAUAGCCGACCUGAGAGGGGGAUCGUCCACACGUGGACUGAGACACGGUCCAGACUCCUACGGUAGGCAGCAGUGGGGAAUAUUGCACAAUGGGCGCAAGCCUGAUGCAGCCAUGCCGCGUGUAUGAAGAAGGCCUUCGGGUUGUAAAGUACUUUCAGCGGGGAGGAGUUACCCGAAGAAGAAGCACCGGCUAACUCCGUGCCAGCAGCCGCGGUAAUAC
RNAcentral lists this ribosomal RNA (406 nucleotides) under uncultured bacterium. RNAcentral describes it as "partial 16S ribosomal RNA". It matches the Rfam family "Bacterial small subunit ribosomal RNA", at positions 30 to 526 of the family's 1533-position model. The record is from RNAcentral.